CCUACCUAUAUAUCUACAUUGAGUUAUUCAAGAUGAGAAUUUGUACAGAUGACUAGAAUGGGCGAGUAGUAACAGCUUGAAAUACAUGAAGUACUAAGCAAUUAUUUUGGCUCCUACGAAAUACAAACCUCUAUUCAAAUUUGGAAAGAAAAAGAAAACGAAAAAUGAACUAAAAAAUUAACAAAGACGUACUUAAGAAAUUAGCCCAAGUUCAUUAGCAGCUUAAGAAAUUUUUGUCUCCAUGUCCAUAUCUCUGACAUCCGCAGGAAGAAAAAGAAUAGCGUCCAGUGUCUACUUCAAAGAAAAUCAACUAUCACUUUUUUAAACUAAGUUCUAAUGGAGUGCCUUCUAAUGCGACAGAGACACCUAAAAGAACUAGAUAAACGUUUAAUAUAUCGUUAAUAAUAAUUAUCGCCUAUGUAAGAAAUGCAAAAAGAAAAUGCUUUUUAAGUAUUCCCUUUUACCCUAAGAUGACCCAGAUGCAAUUCUAGAAUCAUAUACGAAAUAUAACAUCUGGAAAGCGCAGUUACACUGGCACCAAUAACAAGUACCAAAUACACUACCAAUACAAAUUAAUCCCUUAAAAACUUGAAGAAAAAGUACUCAAUUCAAGCAACUCAAGCAGACAUUCAGAACAACUAAUACGUAAAGUAUACCAAUAUAAACAUAUGCAUAAUCCAGAAUUUGAAUUGGCAGUACCAGAGUUGGAGUCGGCGAGCCCGCUGAGCUUUACAGGUUCCUGUGAGGCGGGCUCCAAAAUAAGAGUUCGGCAACUUUGAUACUGACACCCAUGAGAAUCAUCAGGCAACUGAGGAUUUGAAUAGUGUGAUUUUAAGAAUCCAAAUACAAAGUGUUGAUUGAGAUUCUUCUUUCUGCACAUGGUAAGGACGACGUUUUGGCCCAUCGACCUUGUUAUGGCCCUUAAUGAUAGCAUUUUCACUUGAAAAAUAGGAAGCGCAACAAACAGCAUAUCGGAUAUUUGUGUGCAAGGCGUGAGGCCGAGGAAACGACCAUCCACGGUCCACCAACGAACCACUGCAUGAGAUAGAACAAACGACGUUAACAGGUUGGGAAGCCACAGAGCGGGGAGCACAGCCAGGUGCUCCCAAUCAUUGGGUCAGUCGCAAGCAGACAGGGAAGAUUGGGGAUUUAGCUGCGUUGGGUUGCUUUUUUAUUAUCAUUGUUAUUUGAAUUGGCUGCUGCGUUGAUCGGGCUUCGUCCCCAAGUAGCCUGAAAUUGAAAAGGCAGUGAUCCAUCCAUGGUCCUCUAGCAACGGUCAGGUAGAUAAACUCUACCCUGUGUUGGCUUAGAAACAGUGCAUUUAAAAAUUUUAUUUUGAUGAUUAAAAAGGGAUAGAUUAGAGAUGAAUAUUUAUUAAAAUUUAUUGAAAAAUUUUAAGUAUAUUCAUGAAUUUCUUUUUAGGAGCUAAAAAUAGAAUGAGAUAUUGUGGUGUUUAUUAAACUUUAUUUAAUUUUUUUAGAAUAUACUUAUCAUUUUUUGCAUCUGCGCGUCCUUACUUAGUAUAUUCAUGAAUUU
RNAcentral lists this long non-coding RNA (1536 nucleotides) under Carica papaya (papaya). RNAcentral's name for it is "long non-coding RNA (CPAP_LNC002864)". The record is from RNAcentral. Lineage: Eukaryota; Viridiplantae; Streptophyta; Magnoliopsida; Brassicales; Caricaceae.